RNAcentral lists this ribosomal RNA (437 nucleotides) under uncultured bacterium. RNAcentral describes it as "partial 16S ribosomal RNA". It matches the Rfam family "Bacterial small subunit ribosomal RNA", at positions 341 to 792 of the family's 1533-position model. The record is from RNAcentral.
ACGGGAGGCAGCAGUGGGGAAUAUUGGGCAAUGGGCGAAAGCCUGACCCAGCAACGCCGCGUGAAGGAAGAAGGUUUUCGGAUUGUAAACUUCUGUCCUAGGUGAAGAAGGAAGUGACGGUAGCCAAGGAGGAAGCCCCGGCUAACUACGUGCCAGCAGCCGCGGUAAUACGUAGGGGGCGAGCGUUGUCCGGAAUGACUGGGCGUAAAGGGCGUGUAGGCGGCCUGAUAAGUAUGAAGUGAAAACCCAGCUUUCAAGGUUGGGAUUGCUUUGUAGACUGUCGGGCUUGAGUGCGGAAGAGGUAAGUGGAAUUUCCAGUGUAGCGGUGAAAUGCGUAGAGAUUGGGAGGAACACCAGUGGCGAAGGCGACUUACUGGGCCGUAACUGACGCUGAGGCGCGAAAGCGUGGGGAGCGAACAGGAUUAGAUACCCUGGUA